AACGAGGUUUCUAAAAGGGAAGACCUGAUAAUGACACGAGCAGUUUGCUUUUAGUGCCAGGUGACGGUCAUUACUGAAGCACCACCUGCUGAAAUAAGACCCACUGUCGGCAGCGAACAAGUGGGCCCUCCAAACACCCUCAACUGUUCCUGUCCUGCUGGAGAAAAGGGUGAGAGGGGCCCCGCUGGCCCUGAAGGUCCUAGAGGUCAAAAGGGAGAAAGUGGCAGCCAAGGACUUCCUGGUUUAAAAGGAGAAAAAGGAGACUCGGUAAGUCAGAGCUGUCAGAGGCUGACUGAUUUUGUAGUGGAAUGUGAGA
This 316-nucleotide long non-coding RNA is filed under the name Gopherus agassizii (Agassiz's desert tortoise). RNAcentral describes it as "lncRNA (ENSGAGG00000000139.1)". Lineage: Eukaryota; Metazoa; Chordata; Testudines; Testudinidae. The record is from RNAcentral.